RNAcentral lists this transfer RNA (87 nucleotides) under bacterium. RNAcentral's name for it is "tRNA-Ser". It matches the Rfam family "tRNA". From Rfam's summary of the family: Transfer RNA (tRNA) molecules are approximately 80 nucleotides in length. Their secondary structure includes four short double-helical elements and three loops (D, anti-codon, and T loops). The record is from RNAcentral.
GGAAGGGUGCCAGAGUGGUUGAAUGGGACUGUCUCGAAAACAGUUAUACCUGCAAGGGUAUCGAGGGUUCGAAUCCCUCCUCUUCCG